RNAcentral lists this ribosomal RNA (463 nucleotides) under uncultured bacterium. Its description in RNAcentral is "partial 16S ribosomal RNA". It matches the Rfam family "Bacterial small subunit ribosomal RNA", at positions 28 to 507 of the family's 1533-position model. The record is from RNAcentral.
GAUGAACGCUGACAGAAUGCUUAACGCAUGCAAGUCGAUGGGGAAGUGGUGCUUGCACCAUGGUAACCAUGGCGGACGGGUGAGUAACGCGUAAGGAACUUACCUGCUGGACCGGGAUAACAGCAGGAAACUGCUGACAAGACCGGAUAAGGUCAUUAAGCUGCAUAGCUUAGUGAUGAAAGGAGACGCCUGCGGAGAGCCUUGCGUCCUAUUAGCUAGUUGGAGGGGUAACGGCCCACCAAGGCGAAGAUAGGUAGCCGGCCUGAGAGGGUGGACGGCCACAAGGGGACUGAGAUACGGCCCUUACUCCUACGGGAGGCAGCAGUGGGGAAUAUUGGACAAUGGGGGCAACCCUGAUCCAGCAAUUCUGUGUGCACGAAGACGGUUUUCGGAUUGUAAAGUGCUUUCAGCAGGGAAGAAGGAAGUGACGGUACCUGCAGAAGAAGCGACGGCUAAAUACGUG